This 228-nucleotide ribosomal RNA is filed under the name uncultured bacterium. Its description in RNAcentral is "partial 16S ribosomal RNA". It matches the Rfam family "Bacterial small subunit ribosomal RNA", at positions 568 to 796 of the family's 1533-position model. The record is from RNAcentral.
UGCGUAGGCGGACUAAUAAGUCAGUGGUGAAAUCUCUCGGCUCAACCGGGAAACUGCCAUUGAUACUGUUAGUCUUGAGUUCGGUUGAGGUAGGCGGAAUGUGUAAUGUAGCGGUGAAAUGCUUAGAUAUUACACAGAACACCAAUUGCGUAGGCAGCUUACUAGACCGACACUGACGCUGAGGCACGAAAGCGUGGGUAGCGAACAGGAUUAGAUACCCGGUAGUCC